Molecule: ribosomal RNA, 428 nt
Filed under: Pseudomonas sp.
Lineage: Bacteria; Pseudomonadati; Pseudomonadota; Gammaproteobacteria; Pseudomonadales; Pseudomonadaceae
Description: bacterial SSU rRNA
Rfam family: Bacterial small subunit ribosomal RNA
Source: RNAcentral
UCCUUGAGAAGCGGCGGACGGGUGAGUAAUGCCUAGGAAUCUGCCUGGUAGUGGGGGAUAACGUUCGGAAACGGACGCUAAUACCGCAUACGUCCUACGGGAGAAAGCAGGGGACCUUCGGGCCUUGCGCUAUCAGAUGAGCCUAGGUCGGAUUAGCUAGUUGGUGGGGUAAUGGCUCACCAAGGCGACGAUCCGUAACUGGUCUGAGAGGAUGAUCAGUCACACUGGAACUGAGACACGGUCCAGACUCCUACGGGAGGCAGCAGUGGGGAAUAUUGGACAAUGGGCGAAAGCCUGAUCCAGCCAUGCCGCGUGUGUGAAGAAGGUCUUCGGAUUGUAAAGCACUUUAAGUUGGGAGGAAGGGCAGUAAAUUAAUACUUUGCUGUUUUGACGUUACCGACAGAAUAAGCACCGGCUAACUCUGUGCC